UGGGCUACAAAAAAAUGUGCCCCUGGAUCACUUUCUGGACUGAGGGUGUGAAUAGGAAGUUUCCAACUUGGACGGCCAUCACUGGCGGUAUCCACCUUGGGAUGAAGCUGAUACUGCAGAGAGCAGCCAGCAGGAUUGGAAAGUACCAGGGUGUGUGAUGCUGCUGCUAAGCCACAGCCUGUUCUUCUUCUGGGUGCCCAGGGAUGUGAGACUUCCAGUGUGCUGUCAGUUAAGUCGCUGUUUUACUGGUGUCUCUGCUACUUGCAGCUAUGAGCAUCUUGAUAGAU
Molecule: long non-coding RNA, 287 nt
Filed under: Ictidomys tridecemlineatus (thirteen-lined ground squirrel)
Lineage: Eukaryota; Metazoa; Chordata; Mammalia; Rodentia; Sciuridae
Description: lncRNA (ENSSTOG00000034942.1)
Source: RNAcentral